This is an RNA transcript of Enhydra lutris kenyoni (northern sea otter), 983 nucleotides long. It is a transcript of the gene named microsomal glutathione S-transferase 3 pseudogene, with no coding region annotated. The record is from RefSeq and is a predicted model, not a curated record. The transcript has 2 exons. Lineage: Eukaryota; Metazoa; Chordata; Mammalia; Carnivora; Mustelidae.
AUGGCCCUGUGGGCCUUUCUGGGUAGUUCUCAUGGGUUCCUCUCUUGUCUGGGUUAUUCCCUUGCUUCCUUGAACAAUUCCUUAGAGAUUGGACAGCACAGUGUUACUGUGCCAGCAUCAUCUCCAGAACCCUCUAGUGCUGCCAGCUAUUCCCUAGGCCUCUCCCAAGAGACUUCCUCAGGGACAGACCCCCUCAACUUGGACCCUCCUGGCUUUAGGGCAUACAGCCAGAAUCUAUCACCAUUGUCCCAGACCACUGAAGGAUGUGGCAAGAAUCUCAUAGUCCUCAUAAUUCCCAUCCUUCCUAUGCCUGGUGACUGGCCAGUGCAGGGGUUGCAAAUAAGGGGAGGUGACAGGGUGAUUAGAAAGCAGUGUGGUGGGCAGCGGCUGAGCAGCAGUGAUCCUGAGCCAGCACGACUAUCCUCUCUUAAGGAACGUGGUUUUGUGUUUCUGACCUGUGCUGCCAGCUUCAUAAUGGUAGCUCAUCUAAUCAUCAGCGUUUCCAAGGCCCGAAAGAAGUACCAAGUGAAGUAUCCUACCAUGUACAGCAUGGACCCGAAAACGGGCACCUUUUCAACCACGUUCAGCGCGCCCACCAGGACACAUUGAAAGUGUAACCACCCUUCUUAUUUUUCCUAGCUGUUGGAGGUGUUUACCGCCCAGGUAUAGUUUCUGGCCUAGCCUUGGCCUGGAUUGUUGGACAAGUUCUUUAUGCUUAUGGUUGUUACACAAGAGAGCCCAGCAAGCGGAGUCGGGGAGCCCUGGGCUCCAUAGCCCUCACUGGCCUGAUGGGCACAAUGGUGUGCUCUGCCUUCCAGCAUCUUGGUUGGGUUAAAACUGGCUUGGGCAGUGGGUCCAAAUGCUGCCAUUGAAGAAUUAUAAUGUGUUUAAAAUCUUAUUCAUUUUGAAUGAUUUACUCUUAUUUUCAGUUACGUUUUUCUUUUCUAAAUAUAGUAAAAGCUUGUGGCAUUAGCCUCAUGCCU